GCGGACGUGGCGAAACUGGCAGACGCGCUAGAUUCAGGUUCUAGUGGGAAACCGUGCAGGUUCAAAUCCUGUCGUCCGCACCA
RNAcentral lists this transfer RNA (83 nucleotides) under Clostridia bacterium. RNAcentral describes it as "tRNA-Leu". It matches the Rfam family "tRNA". Rfam says of the family: Transfer RNA (tRNA) molecules are approximately 80 nucleotides in length. Their secondary structure includes four short double-helical elements and three loops (D, anti-codon, and T loops). Further hydrogen bonds mediate the characteristic L-shaped molecular structure. tRNAs have two regions of fundamental functional importance: the anti-codon, which is responsible for specific mRNA codon recognition, and the 3' end, to which the tRNAs corresponding amino acid is attached (by aminoacyl-tRNA synthetases). tRNAs cope with the degeneracy of the genetic code in two manners: having more than one tRNA (with a specific anti-codon) for a particular amino acid; and 'wobble' base-pairing, i.e. permitting non-standard base-pairing at the 3rd anti-codon position. The record is from RNAcentral. Lineage: Bacteria; Bacillati; Bacillota; Clostridia.